Molecule: ribosomal RNA, 117 nt
Filed under: Danio rerio (zebrafish)
Lineage: Eukaryota; Metazoa; Chordata; Actinopteri; Cypriniformes; Danionidae
Source: RNAcentral
AGUAAAAGCCAUGUCACCCUGCAGCCCAAGACCGGUUACUCACUGAAGCUAAGCAGGGCUGAGCCUGGUCAGUACCUGGAUGGGAGACCACAAGGGAACACUAGGUUGCUGUUGGAA